UACGAAGGGUGCAAGCGUUACUCGGAAUUACUGAGCGUAAAGCGUGCGUAGGUGGUUUGUUAAGUCUGAUGUGAAAGCCCUGGGCUCAACCUGGGAAUUGCAUUGGAUACUGGCAGGCUAGAGUGCGGUAGAGGAUGGCGGAAUUCCCGGUGUAGCAGUGAAAUGCGUAGAGAUCGGGAGGAACAUCUGUGGCGAAGGCGGCGUUCUGGACUGCAACUGACACUGAGAGACGAAAGCCAGGGGAGCAAACGGG
This 253-nucleotide ribosomal RNA is filed under the name uncultured bacterium. Its description in RNAcentral is "partial 16S ribosomal RNA". It matches the Rfam family "Bacterial small subunit ribosomal RNA", at positions 524 to 776 of the family's 1533-position model. The record is from RNAcentral.